Molecule: non-coding RNA, 376 nt
Organism: Anas platyrhynchos (mallard)
Lineage: Eukaryota; Metazoa; Chordata; Aves; Anseriformes; Anatidae
Source: RefSeq, a predicted model, not a curated record
AAAAGACGUUUAGAUGUAGAGCUUAGGGAUAUGGUUUAGUGGGGACUGUUAGUGUUAGGUCAGAGGUUGGACUCGAUGAUCUUGAGGUCUCUUCCAACCUAGAAAUUCUGUGAUUCUGUGAAAUUUGAUCCCAUGGGAAAGCAACCAUCAAAUGAGUGUAUGAACAUCCUGCCUUCCUGUCUCAUGCUGGGCCAACAUGACCAAGUAAAAAAAGAAGUUGAACCACAACGCCGAGGAAGACUAUGGCCUUCAUCUUCACGACACCAGAGGAGAGAGACGACCCCGUAGCAACAGUGCGUGCAGUCACAGAAUAUACCAGGAUGUGCUGUGUAAUCCUGGAAUUACCAAGAUAUAAAAAGGGACCCUGGCGGGGGUG